RNAcentral lists this non-coding RNA (21 nucleotides) under Caenorhabditis elegans. The record is from RNAcentral. Lineage: Eukaryota; Metazoa; Nematoda; Chromadorea; Rhabditida; Rhabditidae.
UAGAAGCCAUUGACAAAAUCG